RNAcentral lists this ribosomal RNA (253 nucleotides) under uncultured bacterium. RNAcentral's name for it is "partial 16S ribosomal RNA". It matches the Rfam family "Bacterial small subunit ribosomal RNA", at positions 524 to 776 of the family's 1533-position model. The record is from RNAcentral.
UACAGAGGUCUCAAGCGUUGUUCGGAUUCAUUGGGCGUAAAGGGCUCGUAGGCGGCCAACUAAGUCAGACGUGAAAUCCCUCGGCUUAACCGGGGAACUGCGUCUGAUACUGGAUGGCUCGAGUUUGGGAGAGGGAUGCGGAAUUCCAGGUGUAGCGGUGAAAUGCGUAGAUAUCUGGAGGAACACCGGUGGCGAAGGCGGCAUUCUGGACCAACACUGACGCUGAUGAGCGAAAGCCAGGGGAGCAAACGGG